Molecule: long non-coding RNA, 292 nt
Organism: Hylaeus anthracinus
Lineage: Eukaryota; Metazoa; Arthropoda; Insecta; Hymenoptera; Colletidae
Exons: 3
Source: RefSeq, a predicted model, not a curated record
GUAUUAGUUACAAUGAAGCCCAGCUCCCAUAUUAUAUCAAACAAAAUUAUUUCUCUUCUACGAGAUGGUCCUUCAACACGUAAAGUAGCUAAAACGUGUGCUUUUUAAAAAAAUCUACAAAAACAUAGACGAGUUUUCGCUCAUGGACUGCCACCUGCGCGGGUCAAUCAAUUUCAGAAUUGCAGGAACGCAGAAACGAGCGCUUGGAAAUACCUUGCCUUAGGGACAUCGGAGAAUAAAUAGCAGCUCGAAUGCUUCUUUUCAUGCAAAUUGCACCGGUACCCGUCGACAC